RNAcentral lists this long non-coding RNA (787 nucleotides) under Malus domestica (apple). RNAcentral's name for it is "long non-coding RNA (MDOM_LNC006238)". The record is from RNAcentral. Lineage: Eukaryota; Viridiplantae; Streptophyta; Magnoliopsida; Rosales; Rosaceae.
AAUUUUUAGGACUUGAAAGCUUGUAAAACCCGAGAAACCAUAACCUCCAACUUGAGGUACUAUUCAUGCACACGUAAAUGUGUAUUUUUUUGAGAGUUUUGAAGUUAUAAGGAGCUUUAGAUCAUCUUCACGAGGCUCGGAGAAGAAAAAUGAAGUGAUUUGGAUGUCGGGAAGCUCGGGAAUAGGGAGUUGCAGGUUUAGCCGGAAUAUCGAAGGAUUUUCCGGCGAGUUUCGUCGGUUUUAGGACUUUUGAAAGGUAAGGUUUUAUUCUACUUGUCCUAAGCUUCAAUUUGGUUCAAGUUUCGUGGAAUUUGGUUGAGAAUUGGACGAGAUAUGAAGGUUUUCAUGAUUUUUCAGUUUCCGGUGAACGGCGACGGCAACUGGCGAGGCUAACCGAAGAAUAAGAUAGAAUAUUUCAUCAUAGUUGAUGGAAUAUUCUGACGCCGUCAGGUAGAAUUAACGGUUUAUGUUACUUUUUAACGGAAUAUUCCACAGAAUAUUCCAAACGGGGUUAGGGGAUUCCGUUAAGGUCCCUGCUUGUGGCCGCGCAUGGGACGUCGGAAAAUUUUUCUAAAAAUAUGGGGAUGUUCGUGAGGUUGUGUAGAUCACAUUGGUAUAUUCAAACAUCCCAUUUGAGCAAUGUAUGAGAAGUUAUUAGCUAGUAUUGGUUAUGUGAUUUAAAUUAACGUUUUUAUAGUUUUUUCGCAUAUAGGGAAGACUUAUCCCGAGGACGAGCGCAGUCAAGGGCGACUCGGGGGCUACGACUCUUCGACGUACCAGUGAGUAG